GAUGAACGCUGGCGGCGUGCCUAAUACAUGCAAGUCGAGCGAACAGACGAGGAGCUUGCUCCUCUGACGUUAGCGGCGGACGGGUGAGUAACACGUGGAUAACCUACCUAUAAGACUGGGAUAACUUCGGGAAACCGGAGCUAAUACCGGAUAAUAUAUUGAACCGCAUGGUUCAAUAGUGAAAGACGGGUUUGCUGUCACUUAUAGAUGGAUCCGCGCCGCAUUAGCUAGUUGGUAAGGUAACGGCUUACCAAGGCAACGAUGCGUAGCCGACCUGAGAGGGUGAUCGGCCAUACUGGAACUGAGACACGGUCCAGACUCCUACGGGAGGCAGCAGUAGGGAAUCUUCCGCAAUGGGCGAAAGCUUGACGGAGCAACGCCGCGUGAGUGAUGAAGGUCUUCGGAUCGUAAAACUCUGUUAUUAGGGAAGAACAAAUGUGUAAGUAACUAUGCACGUCUUGACGGUACCUAAUCAGAAAGCCACGGCUAACUACGUG
RNAcentral lists this ribosomal RNA (497 nucleotides) under uncultured bacterium. Its description in RNAcentral is "partial 16S ribosomal RNA". It matches the Rfam family "Bacterial small subunit ribosomal RNA", at positions 28 to 507 of the family's 1533-position model. The record is from RNAcentral.